CUAGAAUUAACUAUUAAUACUGUUUUAUUUUCUUUUCAUCUUUUUUCCAUUUUUUUCACAAUACUACACAGUUCUGCACUUCCAUCUUUAAAAUUUGCCUUACAUCAUGAAAUUUUUCUCAGUAUAAAAUACUCCUGAAACAUGGCUUUACUGGACUUGCCUCAGUUUCUGCAGCUUCCUCCUGUUCCUGGCAGCUGCCUGCAGGGAAUUUCACAGGUAGGGACCAAAAUAGGGCCAGGCACAAGCCUCCUGAAUGCAAUCUUGGAUCUGACA
Camelus dromedarius (Arabian camel) is the source of this 273-nucleotide small nucleolar RNA. NCBI's taxonomy places the organism in Eukaryota, Metazoa, Chordata, Mammalia, Artiodactyla, Camelidae. The record is from Ensembl.